Chlorocebus sabaeus (green monkey) is the source of this 194-nucleotide non-coding RNA. Lineage: Eukaryota; Metazoa; Chordata; Mammalia; Primates; Cercopithecidae. The record is from RefSeq and is a predicted model, not a curated record.
AUCGCUUCUCGGCCUUUUGGCUAAGAUCAAGUGUAAAAAAAGAAAGAAAUGAACAUAUAUGAUCUAUAUAAAUGUAAGUCUUCUUUGAUUUUUAUUUAUUUAUUAUUACUAUUUUUUCGAGAUGGAGUUUCGCUCUUGUUGCCCCCGCUGGAGUGCAAUGGCAUGAUCUCUGCUCACUGCAACCUCCACCUCCC